Non-coding RNA from Nicotiana tabacum (common tobacco), 967 nucleotides. The record is from RefSeq and is a predicted model, not a curated record. NCBI's taxonomy places the organism in Eukaryota, Viridiplantae, Streptophyta, Magnoliopsida, Solanales, Solanaceae.
UUUAAAAUCAAUUUUGGGUUAAACAACACUAUGGGGCUGCUGACUGCUGUGAACCCCUCGAGAUAUCUCUGUCUAACAAAAUCGAGCUUUUGAGCUGGUAAAGUAAAAAUCUUGUGAACAUGGUAACGUAUUUGGGGAGGAAAUAUGCAGAUUAUGUAUACUCAAAAUGGGAAAAGACAAUUCUUUGUGACAUGGUUGAACCAUACAGGAGACGAAGAUCAUUUACUCCUCUGGUCACAAUCUACAUCUGUGCAUUUUAUACUGGAGUUAUCGGGGCAGUCGUCACUGAGCAACUCUAUAAGGAGAAAUACUGGGAAGAACAUCCUGGGGAAGCAGUGCCUCAAAUGAAACCAAUGUUUUAAGGUGGCCCUUGGAGAGUAAUGAGAGGGGAUGUUCCUCCAACCGGAAAGUUCAAUGCCUGAGCUUCAGCUCCUUCAAAUGGCUGUGAUUCUCGCGAAUAUCUGUGAGUGAAUACUUGUUUGGCAUGUUGGUUUUGCAGUUCACUUUGACCAAUUUGGUGGCUGGACUGCCUGGUAUAUAAUAUUUGAGACCUAUUGGUAUGGUUUGAGUUUGGACCCAAGGGCCUCGAGGUUGUUUCGGCAUAUUUUGGAAUUUUCAGUUUUUGCAGAUUUUUGGAGCUAGUGCAGACACCUGUCCGAUCGCGGCUUCCUGGCGCGACCACGGUGAAAAGGCAUUGUCAAAGCUUUGUGAUCAUGCCAUGCCUUGUGAGAUUACAUUGAAGGGAAGGGGUGACCAUAUUGUUUAGUGCUAUUGCGCGGGUGUGACGCAACUGCAUUGCCUAACUACCUGGCCGGCUCCCACCACUGGUGCUAUGUCCAGAGGCAGAUCCAGAAUUUAGAAGUUGUGGGUAGGGGUGUACAUGGACCGGGUUGGUUCGGUUUUUAUCAAAACCAAACCAAACCAAUUAUAUCGGUUUGGAUUGGUUCGGUUUUGUCGGAUUUUUCGG